GCGGAACAGAGUUCAAACUGCUUUGCAGGACAUUUCUGAUUUCCCCAGCCAAAAGCUCAGAGCAGAAGAGACGAUGCCAAGCAAGAGGAAGAAGAACAGGAGGAGGAUGAGGAGAGUGGUAAAAGCUGAGGAACAGACUAUACCUCAGGUGGUCAGAGCCAAUGAAGCUGGGCCAACCAAGUAUGAGUCAGGGGCUGAAACUGAAACAGUCUCCAAGUUACAAUCAGACAUUGGUGAAGCUGAAGCUGUGUAUGCUGAACAGUGGGAGAAAUCUGCUUCAGAAACUGCAGUGGAACCUUUACCUGUUCUAGAGGAACAGAGAGAACCCUCCCAGGAAGAAACUACAGGGAGAGUGACUGAGAUAAAGGAAACACUGCUGUCCCAGUCUACUGAAGCUGAAACCAGAGGAGAGUUUUCCAUGGAAACAGAUGCUGCAGAGGAACCACUGGUGUGUUCUUUCCCGGAACCUGAACUUCUAUCAGGGCAGAUCACACACACCAGCCCCUCACACACACAGGAAGCUGCUUCAAGUGACCCAUCCACUACAGAUGACCCUGCAGAUGAUCCUGUUGAUGAUCCUGUAGAUGAUCUGAUGGAAGAGCCAGUAGCAGAAAUGCAGAGUCACACACACCUCAGCUCUAUGCGGGUGGACGGCCCGGACUCUGUCGGGGGACUUCUGGCUCCCGCUGAAGUCUUUAUUGAGGGUUAAACUUGACCGGAGGGGAGGAACCGCUGGUGAUCUGGAUCUGCUGAACUGUGCAUUUCUGUCUUUAAACAGUGUCAGAUAUUGAUUAUUAUUACUCUAAUGGGUGCUGAUCAGUUUUGGAAUUAUUCAUUAAAGCUGGCAGAUAAAUGUAUGUUUUAUAUGUGUAUUAAAACAGUUGUUGUAUUUUGGAGGAAACCGAAAAAAGUGUUUGGAUUUGGUGAUCUGGACUGAUUGGAUUAAUCAAUACAAGAUUAAUUCAAACUAAACUUAACCUUUUUAGAAACACUGUUACUUCAACAGCUUUUGAUCCAUUAUUGAAAAAGAAUGUUUUUUUUUUUGUUGUUGAUACAUUAUUUACGGAUUCCUGCAGCUGGUCCUCUUUUACUAUCCUUACGUUUUUUUUUAUUUGAUUUUCCUUUAGAUUAUUUUUUUCAUGUAUUGCAUAGACUAGGUGUUUGGUGCUAAACUGCCAGUGUGUUUGGAAGGGUAGAGAAGCUUCAAUUGGAAUAAAAAAAUAAUUUCCCCC
RNAcentral lists this long non-coding RNA (1232 nucleotides) under Astyanax mexicanus (Mexican tetra). RNAcentral describes it as "lncRNA (ENSAMXG00005010830.1)". Lineage: Eukaryota; Metazoa; Chordata; Actinopteri; Characiformes; Acestrorhamphidae. The record is from RNAcentral.